ACCUCCCAUCCGUGUCUAUCUGUACCCUGUUGCUUCGGCGUGGCCACGGCCCGCCGGAGACUAACAUUUGAACGCUGUCUGAAGUUUGCAGUCUGAGUUUUUAGUUAAACAAUCGUUAAAACUUUCAACAACGGAUCUCUUGGUUCCGGCAUCGAUGAAGAACGCAGCGAAAUGCGAUAAUUAAUGUGAAUUGCAGAAUUCAGUGAAUCAUCGAGUCUUUGAACGCACAUUGCGCCCCCUGGUAUUCCGGGGGGCAUGCCUGUCCGAGCGUCAUUGCUGCCCUCAAGCACGGCUUGUGUGUUGGGCUUCCGUCCCUGGCAACGGGGACGGGCCCAAAAGGCAGUGGCGGCACCAUGUCUGGUCCUCGAGCGUAUGGGGCUUUGUCACCCGCUCCCGUAGGUCCAGCUGGCAGCUAGCCUCGCAACCAAUCUUUUUAACCAGGUUGACCUCGGAUCAGGUAGGGAUACCCGCUGAACUUAAGCAUAUCA
RNAcentral lists this ribosomal RNA (488 nucleotides) under Aspergillus amstelodami. Its description in RNAcentral is "eukaryotic LSU rRNA". The stretch from base 120 to 273 matches the Rfam family "5.8S ribosomal RNA". The record is from RNAcentral. Lineage: Eukaryota; Fungi; Ascomycota; Eurotiomycetes; Eurotiales; Aspergillaceae.